AGUGAACGCUGGCGGUAGGCCUAACACAUGCAAGUCGAACGGCAGCACAGUAAGAGCUUGCUCUUACGGGUGGCGAGUGGCGGACGGGUAAGGAAUACAUCGGAAUCUACUUUUUCGUGGGGGAUAACGUAGGGAAACUUACGCUAAUACCUCAUACGACCUACGGGUGAAAGCAGUGGUUCUUCGGACCUUGCGCGAUUGAAUGAGCCGAUGUCGGAUUAGCUAGUUGGCUGGGUAAAGGCCCACCAAGGCGACGAUCCGUAGCUGGUCUGAGAGGAUGAUCAGCCACACUGGAACUGAGACACGGUCCAGACUCCUACGGGAGGCAGCAGUAGGGAAUAUUGGACAAUGGGCGCAAGCCUGAUCCAGCCAUACCGCGUGGGUGAAGAAGGCCUUCGGGUUGUAAAGCCCUUUUGUUAGGAAAGAAAAGCAGCAGGUUAAUCCCCCGCUGUUCUGACGGUACCCAAAGAAUAAGCACCGGCUAACUUCGUG
RNAcentral lists this ribosomal RNA (492 nucleotides) under uncultured bacterium. RNAcentral's name for it is "partial 16S ribosomal RNA". It matches the Rfam family "Bacterial small subunit ribosomal RNA", at positions 29 to 507 of the family's 1533-position model. The record is from RNAcentral.